AAUCAACGCUGGCGGCGUGCCUAACACAUGCAAGUCGAACGAGAAAGGGUAGCAAUACCUGAGUAAAGUGGCGCACGGGUGAGUAACACGUGACUAACCUACCCUGGAGUGGGGAAUAACUGGAGGAAACUUCAGCUAAUACCGCAUAAUACCUACGGGUCAAAGGAGCAAUUCGCUUCAGGAGGGGGUCGCGGUCGAUUAGUUAGUUGGCGGGUAAUGGCCCACCAAGACUGUGAUCGAUAUCCGGCCUGAGAGGGCGCACGGACACACUGGAACUGAAACACGGUCCAGACUCCUACGGGAGGCAGCAGUGGGGAAUUUUGCGCAAUGGGGGAAACCCUGACGCAGCAACGCCGCGUGGAGGAAGAAGUAUUUCGGUACGUAA
RNAcentral lists this ribosomal RNA (385 nucleotides) under uncultured bacterium. RNAcentral describes it as "bacterial SSU rRNA". It matches the Rfam family "Bacterial small subunit ribosomal RNA", at positions 32 to 428 of the family's 1533-position model. The record is from RNAcentral.